CCUACGGGAGGCAGCAGUGGGGGAUAUUGGACAAUGGGGGAAACCCUGACCCAGUGACGCCGCGUGAGUGAAGAAGUAUUUCGGUAUGUAAAGCUCUAUCAGCAGGGACGAAAGAAAUGACGGUACCUGAGUAAGAAGCCCCGGCUAACUACGUGCCAGCAGCCGCGGUAAUACGUAGGGGGCAAGCGUUAUCCGGAUUUACUGGGUGUAAAGGGAGCGUAGACGGUAAUGCAAGUCUGGAGUGAAAGGCGGGGGCCCAACCCCCGGACUGCUCUGGAAACUGUGUAACUGGAGUGCUGGAGAGGCAGGCGGAAUUCCUAGUGUAGCGGUGAAAUGCGUAGAUAUUAGGAGGAACACCAGUGGCGAAGGCGGCCUGCUGGACAGGAACUGACGUUGAGGCGCGAAAGCGUGGGGAGCAAACAGGAUUAGAUACCCCAGUAGUC
RNAcentral lists this ribosomal RNA (443 nucleotides) under uncultured bacterium. RNAcentral describes it as "partial 16S ribosomal RNA". It matches the Rfam family "Bacterial small subunit ribosomal RNA", at positions 338 to 795 of the family's 1533-position model. The record is from RNAcentral.